RNAcentral lists this long non-coding RNA (2037 nucleotides) under Agrilus planipennis (emerald ash borer). RNAcentral describes it as "uncharacterized LOC108736905, transcript variant X2". The record is from RNAcentral. Lineage: Eukaryota; Metazoa; Arthropoda; Insecta; Coleoptera; Buprestidae.
UCUAGACCUUUACCAAAACAUUUUUAUUAAAACUCAUGACUCACUCAUUAUCAUUUUUCAGAAUAAAAGAUUGAAAUUUGGUUUUUGUUAAUUUCGUGGCAGGGGUUACUGUCGUGGAGUUCUUAUUUCAACACCCUUGCUAGUCGGGUCUCAACUGAUCGUGUCCUUCUGCAGCAACUUAACAGUGUAUUUACGUUUUUUUAUAAAUUUCUUAAUUACAGUGUUGUUAUGCUUCAUAAUUACUGUUUUGUGCGAAUUUUUGUCAUGCAUACUAAUUACGUAAUUACAGACAUAUAAGCAAAGUUCAAAUUGAACUGUUCAAUAUCGGUAGAGACUUAUAAAUAAACAAGAUAAAUGUGGCGACAUACAGUUAGCGUGGAAUGAGACAAUAAUAAUGCCUCACAUUGCUUAUCAAACGACCUUUGCAUUUAAAUACUUCAUCAAAAGUAAAAAACCAUAAAUAUAACAAAAAAGGAGAGUUCAGAUAAAAGAUGCCGCAAAGCUCAAUUAUGCAUGUUGACUCCACAAUCGCUAGGAUUCUGCUUUUCUCAGGCAUGGCAGAAAACUAGAAUCCGAUGAUUUUGAGGAACAGGAAAAACCUUAAAGGGCGAAAAACUUACAAUCUAAUGACAUAAUAGCGCGUAUAAUCACUUCAGGCCUUUCGAAAAUGCCUCCUUUACAACCCGAAGAAGAAGAAGACCACUGGUCCGCAAUUUCCAGCAAGGGAUGGAACCACGGCACAUAGAGGUAGGUUCUCAAAAGAGACAACGGAGCAUUUUUCCGAGAAAAUGUUACUCGGAUGAUAUCGACUAUCCUCCAGGCUCUGUAGAUUACCAGACCUACCUCUAGGGACACCUCAACAUCAACAGUUGAAGUCCCACAAGAAAGCAUCCGACGCGAAAUCGUCAGCCUCAACCCAGAUCAUGAGGUCAUGAUUGCAAGAAUGUCUGGCGCUGGACGCCAUUUAAGCAGGAUUAUUUAUGAUCAUCGUCAUCAUCAUCAUAAGGGAAUUAGUUCUAGUCGUAAGAUUGGUUGGAUCUUCGCAUUUCCUUAAAACUAGAACAUCCCAUAUCCUUAACUAUUUGUGAACAGUAAUCUAAUCUAGGUCUACCUCUAAUCCUCUUAAUUCCUGUUCCUGCUUCCAGUAUGUCUCUAACUUACCCUUCAUGCCUGAAAAGGUUUCUUAUCAACCUAUCUCGCCUAUUUCUUAUUGACUUCCAUAGCCCUCUGCUCUUCUAUUCUUUCUAAUACCUCUUCAUUUCUAACAUUCUCUAUCUAUGUUAUCAUCAUUCGACUGUAACACCGCAUAAUAUAUGUUUAAAUAAAUAAUUUUAAGUUCGCAUUUACUCGAGUGUUUAUUAUUACGUAGUUGAAGUGUAAAAUCGGACAUCCUGAAUUUGUAGGUGAUGAUGGUGACUGACGUUCUUUCUUCUUUUUCAAAUAACCCCUUCCCGUUUCAGGAAUCCGCGAUUUGGAGUUCGUUUGGUUUAGAAUCGUAACCGAGUCAUCAUUUCGGGCAAGUUUAUGCAAUGUUUAAACAGUCGUGUAAUCAGUCGCCGCGUGCAUACAUUUACAUGACACGUAACAGUAGAUGAAAAGGGGUUGCCAUAGCGCCCCCGCGGCGUCGAUCCGACGCUGCUGUCGGCCGCACAGACUGCGGGUAUCUCACCCUCUCAUUGUGCCGCAAUUAUGUAAAGUGAUGGAUUUAAUCGAGGAGGACCUAAAGCAAGCUAGCUAUACCUACGAAAAUUUAAGUGUUUCAGAAGAACACGAUUCUUUAUUUUAAUAUGGAUGUGAUUAUCACGAUACGUAUUAUACCUGCGUCUGUUGGUACGUAUUUACCGGGAAAUAGUUUUUUAUUGAUUCGCUGAUACUUAUUUUACUUGAAAUCUCCUCCUGGUGUUCUCUUGCGUUGGUAGGUUAGAUGAGAAGCGUUAGAUAUGGUGCUUCCAACACGACAUCAUCGACUUGGAACUUAAUAAGAAAAAUGCGAGAUAGGUUGGCAGGGCAUAUUCUUAAGCAUGAAGGGCUAGUUAG